This 664-nucleotide ribosomal RNA is filed under the name uncultured bacterium. RNAcentral describes it as "bacterial SSU rRNA". It matches the Rfam family "Bacterial small subunit ribosomal RNA", at positions 192 to 852 of the family's 1533-position model. The record is from RNAcentral.
GCCUCUCGAAGCAAGCUAUCGCUAAAGGAUGGGCCUGCGUCUGAUUAGCUAGUUGGUAGUGUAACGGACUACCAAGGCGAUGAUCAGUAGCCGGUCUGAGAGGAUGAACGGCCACAUUGGGACUGAGACACGGCCCAAACUCCUACGGGAGGCAGCAGUGGGGAAUCUUCCGCAAUGGACGAAAGUCUGACGGAGCAACGCCGCGUGAGUGAUGAAGGAUUUCGGUCUGUAAAGCUCUGUUGUUUAUGACGAACGUGCAGUGUGUGAACAAUGCAUUGCAAUGACGGUAGUAAACGAGGAAGCCACGGCUAACUACGUGCCAGCAGCCGCGGUAAUACGUAGGUGGCGAGCGUUGUCCGGAAUUAUUGGGCGUAAAGAGCAUGUAGGCGGCUUAAUAAGUCGAGCGUGAAAAUGCGGGGCUCAACCCCGUAUGGCGCUGGAAACUGUUAGGCUUGAGUGCAGGAGAGGAAAGGGGAAUUCCCAGUGUAGCGGUGAAAUGCGUAGAUAUUGGGAGGAACACCAGUGGCGAAGGCGCCUUUCUGGACUGUGUCUGACGCUGAGAUGCGAAAGCCAGGGUAGCGAACGGGAUUAGAUACCCCGGUAGUCCUGGCCGUAAACGAUGGGUACUAGGUGUAGGAGGUAUCGACCCCUUCUGUGCCGGAGU